Molecule: long non-coding RNA, 423 nt
Filed under: Ananas comosus (pineapple)
Lineage: Eukaryota; Viridiplantae; Streptophyta; Magnoliopsida; Poales; Bromeliaceae
Description: long non-coding RNA (ACOM_LNC025726)
Source: RNAcentral
CAGCGGAAAAGCGUUUAAUUUUUUUUUUUUUUUGAAAACCUGACCCCAGGGUAUGCCAGAUCCGCCACAAAUACAGGGAAUCCACUGUUCACACGGACAGAGUCUCCCCUGUAUUUGCACGGCGUCACACAAGUACAAAAGUACAAACAUUAUACAACCACAACUAAAUGAAUAUACAGAUAGCUAUACAUUCAUACAUUCACCAUUCACACCGUAGUUUUACAUUNGAAGCCAACUCUACUCCGUGGCUUUUCCGGAAAACCGGAGUUACUAUUCAGUUAAGUGAAAACUAAAAAUCGCGUAUCUUCUCCAUUUUAGCUCAUUUUCGCCCGAAACUUGACGAGUGCUUAUGUAAUUAAAUUACACACAUAAACAUCAUCAACAGAAAGUUUAGUUGCACUGUCAAAAAUCUCAGUCCUUACA